CAGCAGCCGCGGGAAUACGUAGGGUGCGAGCGUUAAUCGGAAUUACUGGGCGUAAAGCGUGCGCAGGCGGUUUUGUAAGACAGGCGUGAAAUCCCCGGGCUCAACCUGGGAAUGGCGCUUGUGACUGCAAAGCUAGAGUGCGGCAGAGGGGGAUGGAAUUCCGCGUGUAGCAGUGAAAUGCGUAGAUAUGCGGAGGAACACCGAUGGCGAAGGCAAUCCCCUGGGCCUGCACUGACGCUCAUGCACGAAAGCGUGGGGAGCAAACAGGAUUAGAUACCCCAGUAGUCCCUGUCUCUUAUAA
RNAcentral lists this ribosomal RNA (301 nucleotides) under uncultured bacterium. Its description in RNAcentral is "partial 16S ribosomal RNA". It matches the Rfam family "Bacterial small subunit ribosomal RNA", at positions 509 to 809 of the family's 1533-position model. The record is from RNAcentral.